Molecule: ribosomal RNA, 460 nt
Filed under: uncultured bacterium
Lineage: Bacteria
Description: partial 16S ribosomal RNA
Rfam family: Bacterial small subunit ribosomal RNA
Source: RNAcentral
CCUACGGGUGGCAGCAGUGAGGAAUAUUGGUCAAUGGACGAGAGUCUGAACCAGCCAAGUAGCGUGAAGGAUGACUGCCCUUUGGGUUGUAAACUUCUUUUAUAAAGGAAUAAAACGAGGCACGUGUGCCUUUUUGCAUGUACUUUAUGAAUAAGGAUCGGCUAGCUCCGUGCCAGCAGCCGUGGUAAUACGGGGGAUCCGAGCGUUAUCCGGAUUGAUUGGGUUUAAAGGGAGCGUAGAUGGGUUGUUAAGUCAGUUGUGAAAGUUUGCGGCUCAACCGGAAGAUUGCAAUUGAUACUGGCAGUCUUGAGUACAGUUGAGGGAGGCGGAAUUCGUGGUGUAGCAGUGAAAUGCUUAGAUAUCACGAAGAACCCCGAUUGCGAAGGCAGCUUACUAAACUGUGACUGACAUUGAUGCUCGAAAGUGUGGGUAUCAAACAGGAUUAGAUACCCGGGUAGUC